GUCCCACCCUCGUGUUUCCCUUCGGACAAUGGGGUCUGCGCUGGUCGGCAGGUACUUCUCGCGGUCGGCCCGGGCCCCUGCGGCGGAGCCGGUCGCGCGGUCAUGGCGCAGCAGCCCUUCCUGGUGCAGGUCUCUGGUCCCCCGGGCGCGUCCGCAGGCGGCCACGAGGGGGUCUUAAGUCCCCCCGAUGUCCUGUUCUCGAGUGAAGCAUGAGACCUGGAGGCUCACCAGUCGGGCAGUGCCCUUUCCCAGAGGUGCCGUGCUGAGCGCCCGAGAGCCUAAGGUUUAAAAUCUACCCAUUCUGAGAUGUGCUGUUGGCGUGGCUCCGAUGCUAGGCGAUGAGAGCUGUGACAGGUGGAGAGCAAGCCGUUUCUCCUAGGAGACUGGAUUUUGCUGACGAAAUGGAUGUUCUCUGGUGUUGGGCAAAAGCUAGGAACUUCUCUCCUGUUAUCCUGUGUGAGCAGUUGUCAGCUACCAAAUUGGCUAGAAAUUUUGGGAUAACUAUGUGUCUGAUAGUUUUCACUUAAAUUUACUUUAUGUGUAAGAACAUGGUUUGUCAAAAGGGAUUAAAUAAAGUUUUUUAAUACUA
This is a long non-coding RNA of Tupaia belangeri chinensis (Chinese tree shrew), 589 nucleotides long. RefSeq lists it as uncharacterized. NCBI's taxonomy places the organism in Eukaryota, Metazoa, Chordata, Mammalia, Scandentia, Tupaiidae. The transcript has 5 exons. The record is from RefSeq and is a predicted model, not a curated record.